UUCGGUCUCUUUAGCGGAGUGGUACUACCUUUUCCCAUUCCGAACAGAGUCGUCAAACACUCCAGCGCCGACGAUAGUAACACCGCAAGGUAUCGCGAAAAUAGGUCGAGGCCGGAG
Molecule: ribosomal RNA, 117 nt
Filed under: Candidatus Gottesmanbacteria bacterium CG1_02_37_22
Lineage: Bacteria; Candidatus Gottesmaniibacteriota
Also listed under: 3 other names
Source: RNAcentral